This is a non-coding RNA of Triticum aestivum (bread wheat), 125 nucleotides long. The record is from Rfam. NCBI's taxonomy places the organism in Eukaryota, Viridiplantae, Streptophyta, Magnoliopsida, Poales, Poaceae.
AAUAUACUCCCUCCGCCUGGAAAUACUUGUCGAAGAAAUAGAUGUAUCUAAACGUAUUUUAGUUUUAGAUACAAUCAUUUUUAUCAAUUUCUUUGACAAGUAUUUCCAGAUGAAGGGAUUACUAA